GCUCGCGCGUGCGAGGUGCAGGCACGGGGCGGGGGUGCUGCUUCGCAGGGUUUGUGGCCGCACGGCGCGGGCGCGUGCUAGGAGCAUGCCGGCGGCGGAGGCUACCUGCCAGGCUGCUGCUGCACGGGGGACGUGGCCGGCUGGCCGUACAAGGCCAGCGCGGCCGCCCAUGCUGCUGCGACGAGGAUCAAAAUUACAAGAAAAAAAAAGAUGUGUGCUACGAAUCAAGCAGCUCUCCGCCGUUCACCUAAUCUCUCUGAUUUUGUUUUGAUUAUGAAGUAAUUGAUAUUUUGCCUCAGUAAUUCAGUUCUCUGAUCUCCCACAGCUCUCUACCCCAUCUAAUUUUGUUCUAAUUUUGGUCUCGUGGAGAAUUGGUGAUUGAAAUUACUGAACCAGCAAAUUGGUGAUUGGAAUUACUGAACCAUCAUUGAACUUCGAGAUUAAGCAGAGCAGAGCGACAAGGGGAGCAGAGAAGGCAGCGGGGCUCCCAUGCUUUCUUCUCCGUGGAGCAGAUUGGGAAUUAAAAAUUACUGAAUCUUCGCUUGAAUUCGACAAAGGGGCGGUCAAAGGCUGGACGGGGUGUCACGGGCACAUGAACAAAGGCGGGGCACAAAGGACAUUUCGCCUCGCCUUGCUGACCGGGCGUCAACGUGGCCUGUCGCCGUGUCCCGCCACGUAGGCAAAAGUGGUAAAAACAUAAGAUUUCCAGCUACAGUAGUGCUAAAUCUGUAGAAGCCCGUUUAAGAGUGCUAAUCCAGCGAGUGACCUUUCUUAUAAUGGUAAAUAUGUAAAUAUCCC
This is a long non-coding RNA of Panicum virgatum (switchgrass), 798 nucleotides long. RefSeq lists it as uncharacterized. The record is from RefSeq and is a predicted model, not a curated record. The transcript is spliced from 2 exons. Lineage: Eukaryota; Viridiplantae; Streptophyta; Magnoliopsida; Poales; Poaceae.